This 251-nucleotide ribosomal RNA is filed under the name uncultured bacterium. RNAcentral describes it as "partial 16S ribosomal RNA". It matches the Rfam family "Bacterial small subunit ribosomal RNA", at positions 524 to 776 of the family's 1533-position model. The record is from RNAcentral.
UACGAAGGGGGCUAGCGUUGUCGAAUUACUGGGCGUAAAGCGCACGUAGGCGGAUACUUAAGUCAGGGGUGAAAUCCCGGGGCUCAACCCCGGAACUGCCUUUGAUACUGGGUAUCUCGAGUCCGGAAGAGGUGAGUGGAAUUCCGAGUGUAGAGGUGAAAUUCGUAGAUAUUCGGAGGAACACCAGUGGCGAAGGCGGCUCACUGGUCCGGUACUGACGCUGAGGUGCGAAAGCGUGGGGAGCAAACAGG